This 806-nucleotide ribosomal RNA is filed under the name uncultured Flavobacteriales bacterium. RNAcentral describes it as "bacterial SSU rRNA". It matches the Rfam family "Bacterial small subunit ribosomal RNA", at positions 70 to 873 of the family's 1533-position model. The record is from RNAcentral. Lineage: Bacteria; Pseudomonadati; Bacteroidota; Flavobacteriia; Flavobacteriales.
CAGGUCUGUAGCAAUACAGAUGCUGGCGACCGGCAAACGGGUGCGGAACACGUACAGAACCUUCCUUCGAGCGGGGAAUAGCCCGGAGAAAUCCGGAUUAAUACCCCAUAGUAAAUUGGAGAGGCAUCUCUUUGAUUUUAAAGAUUUAUCACUUGAAGAUGGCUGUGCGCCUGAUUAGGUAGUUGGCGGGGUAACGGCCCACCAAGCCUACGAUCAGUAACUGGUGUGAGAGCACGACCAGUCACACGGGCACUGAGACACGGGCCCGACUCCUACGGGAGGCAGCAGUAAGGAAUAUUGGUCAAUGGACGAAAGUCUGAACCAGCCAUGCCGCGUGGAGGAUGAAGGUCCUCUGGAUUGUAAACUUCUUUUAUAUGGGACGAAAAAGGGUCUUUCUAGAUCAACUGACGGUACCAUGUGAAUAAGCACCGGCUAACUCCGUGCCAGCAGCCGCGGUAAUGCGGAGGGUGCAAGCGUUAUCCGGAUUCACUGGGUUUAAAGGGUGCGUAGGUGGGUUGGUAAGUCAGUGGUGAAAUCCCCGAGCUUAACUUGGGAACUGCCAUUGAUACUAUCAAUCUUGAAUACCGUGGAGGUCAGCGGAAUAUGUCAUGUAGCGGUGAAAUGCUUAGAUAUGACAUAGAACACCAAUUGCGAAGGCAGCUGGCUACACGAAUAUUGACACUGAGGCACGAAAGCGUGGGGAUCAAACAGGAUUAGAUACCCUGGUAGUCCACGCCCUAAACUAUGGAUACUCGACAUUUGCGAUACACUGCAAGUGUCUGAGCGAAAGCAUUAAGUAUCCCACC